Molecule: non-coding RNA, 256 nt
Organism: Poecilia reticulata (guppy)
Lineage: Eukaryota; Metazoa; Chordata; Actinopteri; Cyprinodontiformes; Poeciliidae
Source: RefSeq, a predicted model, not a curated record
GAACUUCCCUGUGAAACAGAAGAACAGCGAGAAAGUGGAAAAAGAUGGAAAAUAGUACAGUUGUUGUUCUGAUCAACUGUGGCAGUCAGCCCGACUGGCAGCACCUGGCCAGUAAUCCCAGGGUCUUAAAGCUGACUGAAGUUUGCAAUAAAGUGGAACAAGUUUCAGCUGGCAUUCUGAGACAACUAAACACAUGUCAUGACGUUAAUGUAAUUAAUUUAUUUUAGUAAAUAAAUUGUAAAUUAUUGUCCUUCAA